Molecule: ribosomal RNA, 645 nt
Filed under: Pseudophialocephala salinicola
Lineage: Eukaryota; Fungi; Ascomycota; Sordariomycetes; Chaetosphaeriales; Chaetosphaeriaceae
Description: SSU rRNA
Rfam family: Eukaryotic small subunit ribosomal RNA
Source: RNAcentral
UGGUCUAGUAUAGCAUUGUACUGCGAAACUGCGAAUGGCUCAUUAAAUCAGUUAUCGUUUAUUUGAUAGUGCCUAUCCUACUUGGAUAACCGUGGUAAUUCUAGAGCUAAUACAUGCUAAAAAUCCCGACUUCGGAAGGGAUGCAUUUAUUGGAUACAGAACCAACGCCCUUCGGGGCUUUCUGGUGAAUCACAAUAACUUCGCGGAUCGCACGGCCUUGUGCCGGCGAUGGUUCAUUCAAAUUUCUGCCCUAUCAACUUUCGACGGCUGGGUCUUGGCCAGCCGUGGUGACAACGGGUAACGGAGGGUUAGGGCUCGACCCCGGAGAAGGAGCCUGAGAGACGGCUACUACAUCCAAGGAAGGCAGCAGGCGCGCAAAUUACCCAAUCCCGACUCGGGGAGGUAGUGACAAUAAAUACUGAUCCAGGGCUCUUUUGGGUCUUGGAAUUGGAAUGAGUACAAUUUAAAUCCCUUAACGAGGAACAAUUGGAGGGCAAGUCUGGUGCCAGCAGCCGCGGUAAUUCCAGCUCCAAUAGCGUAUAUUAAAGUUGUUGAGGUUAAAAAGCUCGUAGUUGAACCUUGGCCCCGGCUAGCUGGUCCGCCUCACCGCGAGUACUGGUUCGGCCGGGGCUUUCCCUCUGGGGA